RNAcentral lists this unclassified non-coding RNA (353 nucleotides) under soil metagenome. RNAcentral's name for it is "partial contains 5.8S ribosomal RNA, internal transcribed spacer 2, and large subunit ribosomal RNA". The stretch from base 1 to 119 matches the Rfam family "5.8S ribosomal RNA", at positions 36 to 154 of the family's 154-position model. The record is from RNAcentral.
AUGAAGAACGCAGCGAAAUACGAUAAGUAGUGUGAAUUGCAGAAUUCAGUGAAUCAUCGAAUCUUUGAACGCACAUUGCGCCUCCUGGUAUUCCGGGAGGCAUGCCUGUUCGAGCGUCAUUAAAAUCACUCAAGCUUAGGUUUACCUAUUGCUUGGUCUUGGAGAUGGAAGCCAAUUUAUUGGAAUCCUCUUCGAAAUUCAAUGGCGAAGACCCUUGCUCUCCCAAGUGUAGUAAUAACUUAUGUCACUGAAGGAAGCGAGAAAUCUUCUGCCGUAACCCCCAUAUUUUCUAUGAUUGACCUCGGAUCAGGUAGGGAUACCCGCUGAACUUAAGCAUAUCAAUAAGCGGAGGA